This 763-nucleotide ribosomal RNA is filed under the name uncultured Streptococcus sp. RNAcentral describes it as "bacterial SSU rRNA". It matches the Rfam family "Bacterial small subunit ribosomal RNA", at positions 28 to 776 of the family's 1533-position model. The record is from RNAcentral. Lineage: Bacteria; Bacillati; Bacillota; Bacilli; Lactobacillales; Streptococcaceae.
GACGAACGCUGGCGGCGUGCCUAAUACAUGCAAGUAGAACGCUGAAGGAGGAGCUUGCUUCUCUGGAUGAGUUGCGAACGGGUGAGUAACGCGUAGGUAACCUGCCUGGUAGCGGGGGAUAACUAUUGGAAACGAUAGCUAAUACCGCAUAACAGUAGAUAUCGCAUGAUAGCUACUUGAAAGGUGCAAUUGCACCACUACCAGAUGGACCUGCGUUGUAUUAGCUAGUUGGUGAGGUAACGGCUCACCAAGGCAACGAUACAUAGCCGACCUGAGAGGGUGAUCGGCCACACUGGGACUGAGACACGGCCCAGACUCCUACGGGAGGCAGCAGUGGGGAAUCUUCGGCAAUGGACGGAAGUCUGACCGAGCAACGCCGCGUGAGUGAAGAAGGUUUUCGGAUCGUAAAGCUCUGUUGUAAGAGAAGAACGAGUGUGAGAGUGGAAAGUUCACACUGUGACGGUAUCUUACCAGAAAGGGACGGCUAACUACGUGCCAGCAGCCGCGGUAAUACGUAGGUCCCGAGCGUUGUCCGGAUUUAUUGGGCGUAAAGCGGGCGCAGGCGGUUAGAUAAGUCUGAAGUUAAAGGCUGUGGCUUAACCAUAGUACGCUUUGGAAACUGUUUAACUUGAGUGCAAGAGGGGAGAGUGGAAUUCCAUGUGUAGCGGUGAAAUGCGUAGAUAUAUGGAGGAACACCGGUGGCGAAAGCGGCUCUCUGGCUUGUAACUGACGCUGAGGCUCGAAAGCGUGGGGAGCAAACAGG